AAAGGAAGGAGGAAGUAACUUGUGGAAUGCUGAGAAAGAUUUGCUCUUCUGCCAUCACUGUGAGAGUAUUCCUGAGCCAGCCAGCUGGAGGGAAAAACAGGAGGAGCAGGGCUGAGUCGCACCAGUCAUAUACGUGUGGCCAUCUUGUAUCAUCUUUAAUGCUAUUUCAUCUAAGUCUGAAAGUGGAGAAGUCUUGAGAAAAGGCUGAGUGUUGCAGAGUCCUAACUGAGGGCAGUUGGCUUCCCCAAGAAAGUGAGACACCUUGGAAAGGCUGACUCUGACCUGCAGUGACCAUAUAUCAGUUCCAUAUGACAGAAUGUCUCCUUCCAAUGGAUGUUGAUCACCUUGUCACCUGUUGCCUAAAUGACCUUGUCUAUUGUCCAUUAUUUUGAUGUAUCCAGAGGGGCAACAAAUCACUCUCCUAGCUGCACAAUCAUUCUCCUGGUAAAUGUAUUAGGCUUACCAAAGAAACGUACAAAAUCCCAUCUGAGAAUGGUCAGUUUUCCAAGCUGAACUACAUCAUGAAGUAAACCUCAAGAUCAAGAAAGUGA
RNAcentral lists this long non-coding RNA (551 nucleotides) under Homo sapiens (human). Its description in RNAcentral is "HSALNT0403371". Lineage: Eukaryota; Metazoa; Chordata; Mammalia; Primates; Hominidae. The record is from RNAcentral.